RNAcentral lists this ribosomal RNA (253 nucleotides) under uncultured bacterium. RNAcentral describes it as "partial 16S ribosomal RNA". It matches the Rfam family "Bacterial small subunit ribosomal RNA", at positions 524 to 776 of the family's 1533-position model. The record is from RNAcentral.
UACGAAGGGGGCUAGCGUUGCUCGGAAUCACUGGGCGUAAAGCGCACGUAGGCGGUCUUUUAAGUCGGGGGUGAAAUCCUGGAGCUCAACUCCAGAACUGCCUUCGAUACUGGAAGACUUGAGUCCGGGAGAGGUGAGUGGAACUGCGAGUGUAGAGGUGAAAUUCGUAGAUAUUCGCAAGAACACCAGUGGCGAAGGCGGCUCACUGGUCCGGUACUGACGCUGAGGUGCGAAAGCGUGGGGAGCAAACAGG